RNAcentral lists this unclassified non-coding RNA (216 nucleotides) under Hevea brasiliensis (rubber tree). Lineage: Eukaryota; Viridiplantae; Streptophyta; Magnoliopsida; Malpighiales; Euphorbiaceae. The record is from RNAcentral.
AGAAGCAUAAAUUAAAACUGCAGCCACUGAAAUAUAAAAGAAUUAUACAUUUGUUGUCACUUGAAAAUCAAGAAUGAAUUGGGCAUAUGGUGCCAAAUCAAGUAUCAGAAAAGAAAAUAUAGCCAAGCAACAACAGGAAUAAGUUAGAACUGCAAGAAUGAGAACAAGCAGGCAUGGACCUAGAUUUACACCAGUAGAAACAAUUAGCCAGAAAAA